RNAcentral lists this ribosomal RNA (1818 nucleotides) under uncultured eukaryote. Its description in RNAcentral is "SSU rRNA". It matches the Rfam family "Eukaryotic small subunit ribosomal RNA". The record is from RNAcentral.
UACCUGGUUGAUCCUGCCAGUAGUCAUAUGCUUGUCUUAAAGAUUAAGCCAUGCAUGUCUAAGUAUAAGCAUUUAUACCGCGAGACUGCGAACGGCUCAUUAAAACAGUUAUGGUUUAUUUGAUGGUUCCUUUGCUACUUGGAUAACCGUAGUAAUUCUAGAGCUAAUACAUGCACGAAGGGGCGACUCACGAAGCCCUGUAUUUAUUAGAUUAAAGCCAACCACCUCCGGGUGUUCGUGGUGAAUCAUAGUAACUUAUCGGAUCGCCGGCUCAACGCCAGCGACGUGUCAUUCAAAUUUCUGCCCUAUCAGCUUUAGAUGGUAGGAUAUGGGCCUACCAUGGCGGUGACGGGUAACGGAGAAUUAGGGUUCGAUUCCGGAGAGGGAGCCUGAGAAACGGCUACCACUUCUAAGGAAGGCAGCAGGCGCGCAAAUUACCCAAUCCUGACUCAGGGAGGUAGUGACAAGAAAUAACAAUAAACCGGCUUAUGCCGGUUUAAUUGGAAUGAGUACAAUUUAAACAUCUUAACGAGGAACAAUUGGAGGGCAAGUCUGGUGCCAGCAGCCGCGGUAAUUCCAGCUCCAAUAGCGUAUACUAAAGUUGUUGCAGUUAAAAAGCUCGUAGUUGGAUUUCUGUGUCGGGACACGCAAUGCGUGGCCAUAUCGGCCUAGCAUCAGCGGGUUCUUACACAUCCUGCCUUUACCCGCGCUGGCCUUCGUUGGUUGGCGAUGGCGAGGGGCUCGUUUACUUUGAGAAAAAUAGAGUGUUCAAAGCAGGCUUUGCGCCUUGAAUAACUUAGCAUGGAAUAAUGACAAAGGACCUCGGUUCUUUUUGUUGGUGUUCGGCACUGAGGUAAUGAUUGAUAGGGACAGUUGGGGGCGUCAGUAUUUCGAGGCUAGAGGUGAAAUUCAUAGAUUCUCGAAAGACUAGCAGAUGCGAAAGCGUUCGCCACGGAUGUACUCUUUGAUCAAGAACGAAAGUUGGGGGAUCGAAGACGAUCAGAUACCGUCGUAGUCUCAACUAUAAACUAUACCAGCUAGGGAUCGGGCAACGCCGCAAUCCAGAAGGCUUGCUCGGCACCUUAUGAGAAAUCAAAGCAUUUGGGUUCCGGGGGGAGUAUGGUCGCAAGGCUGAAACUUAAAGGAAUUGACGGAAGGAGCACCACCAGGUGUGGAGCCUGUGGCUUAAUUUGACUCAACACGGGAAAACUUACCAGGUCCAGACAUAGUAAGGAUUGACAGAUUGACAGCUCUUUCUUGAUUCUAUGGGUGGUGGUGCAUGGCCGUUCUUAGUUGGUGGAGUGAUUUGUCUGGUUAAUUCCGUUAACGAACGAGACCCCAGCCUGCUAAAUAGUGUGGCUUUGCCUUUGCGCAAGGCACGCGCUUCUUAGAGGGACUGCGAUCGCGCUUCAAGCCCGAGGAAGUUUGGGGCAAUAACAGGUCUGUGAUGCCCUUAGAUGUUCUGGGCCGCACACGGGCUACACUGACGCGUGCAACGAGCAUAUCAGCUGGCUUGAGAGAGUCUUGGCUAAUCUUUUGAACUCGCGUCGUGCUUGGGAUAGACUUUUGCAAUUGUGAGUCUUGUAACGAGGAAUACCUUGUAAACGCGAGUCAUCAACUCGCAUUGAAUACGUCCCUGCCCUUUGUACACACCGCCCGUCGCUCCUACCGAUGAAUGUUCCGAUGAAAUUUUCGGAGCUCGGCGCUUUUGCGGCGCUUGCGUCGCAGUCUGCUGCUGUGCGAAGUCACUUAAAUCUGAACAUUUCGAGGAAGGAGAAGUCGUAACAAGGUUUCCGUAGGUGAACCUGCAGAAGGAUC